ACCCCCCCCCCCCCCCCCUCACUGUUGGCUUUGAAUACAGCAGCCAAUGUGUUACUAGAGACUAAGUUCAUCACCUGUGUAUUAGUGAAUAAUUUAUGUCCACACACUUCAAGCAUUCCUGUGUAAAUAAUGUAUUAUAUAUGACCGUCCAGCGGUGUUAGACUAGUAGAUGUAUACCACUAUUGUUGUAACACACCUAGAUCAAGACAGUAGAAUAUUAAAUUAACAAAUUAUUAGGAUGAAUGAAAUGCAAAUAAAAACAUUUAAUUCAUAUCCGUC
This is a non-coding RNA of Biomphalaria pfeifferi, 279 nucleotides long. The record is from the annotation of a GenBank genome assembly. NCBI's taxonomy places the organism in Eukaryota, Metazoa, Mollusca, Gastropoda, Planorbidae.